This 301-nucleotide ribosomal RNA is filed under the name uncultured Cortinarius. RNAcentral's name for it is "eukaryotic LSU rRNA". The stretch from base 1 to 52 matches the Rfam family "5.8S ribosomal RNA", at positions 103 to 154 of the family's 154-position model. The record is from RNAcentral. Lineage: Eukaryota; Fungi; Basidiomycota; Agaricomycetes; Agaricales; Cortinariaceae.
AACGCACCUUGCGCUCCUUGGUAUUCCGAGGAGCAUGCCUGUUUGAGUGUCAUUAAUAUAUCAACCUCUUCAUCUUUUUGCAUGUCGAGUUGUUGGAUGUGGGGGAACAUUUUGCUGGACUCCAAUCCGAGGUCAGCUCCCCUAAAAUGCAUUAGCGAAACAAUUUGUUUACCGCUCAUUGGUGUGAUAACUAUCUACGCUAUUGACAGUAACAGCAUGUUUAGCUUCUAACAGUCCAUUGAAUUGGACAUUUUUCUAUUAAUGUGACCUCAAAUCAGGUAGGACUACCCGCUGAACUUAA